Lolium perenne is the source of this 553-nucleotide long non-coding RNA. RefSeq lists it as uncharacterized. The record is from RefSeq and is a predicted model, not a curated record. NCBI's taxonomy places the organism in Eukaryota, Viridiplantae, Streptophyta, Magnoliopsida, Poales, Poaceae.
GCCCCGUGCUCCUCUCUCCGUUUCUAACUAGAGUUCACUGAUGCUUGGUCUCUGACACGCAGGUCUGCGUGGCUUCCGAUGAUAUGCCAGGUCGCCCCGUGCUGCAACGCCUCCGGGUCGUUAUCUGUAAUGUUUGCAGAGAGGGGCUGAUACAGUUGGUCGAGUAGUUCUCAAGCCGAGGGGAUAAACCUUGGAAGGCUCUAUACCAAGGAAUCUGGAGUUUAUAGUACACAUGUACUUCCUCAUAAACCAAUUGAGCUUUCAUUGGCAUUGUAGAAGACGAUACAUUGUUCUUUGACUAUAUUGCUGGUUCAACGCUCAAAGUGACCAUCUUCAGGUACAAUGGAUGCGAGAAGAUCUAGGACCACUGUACUUAGAGAUCAACGUGAAAUAACCUUUUGUUCAUCGGUAUAGCUAUCCAUGCUAUCGCUUAUAUAUAAUAAUAGUUCUUCUCUCUUACUCUCUGAGAUUACCAAUUGAUCAUCCAUUGUAGAAUGAUGAUCAAUAUACAGUACCAAGUAUUAUUACUAGACUAAAUUAUUACUAGACUAAA